GUCUUAACAAGUAAAAACAGAGAGGAAUAGCUGGUCAUCUGCUACAUUCAAAAAAUCCAAACAAAGAGAAUGCAUGCAGGCAACCUAUAAUAAGAAGAUAAGAGCUUAUAUUCCAGAAACAAAAGUCCCUGAAAGCAACUGUGAGUAAAGCACACAGACUUGUAUUGAAUCCUUUGCAGAGUUUUGAACUCUCUAUUUUAAACCCUCUGUUGUUUUGGACCUUCUGCAGAGUCAAUAGGCUGAGUCAAAUGUCUUCUUGGCAUAGAUUUUAUUGCAAUUGUCAACAGGGCAAGAGAAUAAUGCAGUGAGUUGUUAAUGAGAAGACCUGCUCAUCUUGCUUCUGGAUCCCAAGUCCCCAGAGGACCCUGGCUCAACUCCAGCUUAGUGUUGGAACUCUAGCAGUUGGAUGCCUUGAUCUAGAGGGAAACCAGUGCUUUUCCCCAUUUAUCAUCCUCUUACAGAAGAAUUUCACUUGCAGCAACUUUGAACUGCCUCUGAACUCACUCAUGCUGCAGAAGAAUCCAUGCCUGUUUGUUGAUAUUUUGUUUUUCAUGCCUGAAGAGCACAACUGGAACAAACAAGAAGUUGGAGAAGGUGCUUGGAAUGCUGAUGGAGUUGAAUCAGCAAGAGGGCCUGACUGAGAAGGCAGAGGAUUUCUGACUCCACAGUUGGCCCUGCCGAGUUGGAGGUGCCCUUCCUGCCUCAACAUCCACCAACUAACUACCGGAGAGCUUUGGGGUAUGAUGUAGAGGGGAAGAAGGGGAAAGGUGUGGUGUGGAGAGGGGAUGGAGUGGGAUGAGGUGGAAACCCUGGCUGGUCUUGAGGGCUAGAAACCAACGAGCUCUGUGACCUUGGGGAUGUUCCUUAACCUCUCUGGGCUUACUCCUGCUUUGUACUACAGCGAGUUUAAGCUAUGUUUGCUGCUAGUUCAGG
Molecule: long non-coding RNA, 933 nt
Filed under: Pan troglodytes (chimpanzee)
Lineage: Eukaryota; Metazoa; Chordata; Mammalia; Primates; Hominidae
Description: lncRNA (ENSPTRG00000054212.1)
Source: RNAcentral